This 491-nucleotide ribosomal RNA is filed under the name uncultured bacterium. Its description in RNAcentral is "bacterial SSU rRNA". It matches the Rfam family "Bacterial small subunit ribosomal RNA", at positions 28 to 507 of the family's 1533-position model. The record is from RNAcentral.
GAUGAACGCUAGCGAUAGGCCUAACACAUGCAAGUCGAGGGGCAGCAUAAGGAAGUAGCAAUACUUUCUGGUGGCGACCGGCGCACGGGUGAGUAACACGUAUGCAACCUGCCUUCAACAAGGGGAUAACCCGUUGAAAGACGGACUAAUACCCUAUAACACAGGGGUCCCGCAUGGGAAUAUUUGUUAAAGGACAACCGGUUGAAGAUGGGCAUGCGUUCCAUUAGCUAGUUGGCGGGGUAACGGCCCACCAAGGCAACGAUGGAUAGGGGAACUGAGAGGUUUAUCCCCCAACUGGUACUGAGACACGGACCAGACUCCUACGGGAGGCAGCAGUGAGGAAUAUUGGUCAAUGGACGCAAGUCUGAACCAGCCACGUCGCGUGAAGGAAGACGGCCCUACGGGUUGUAAACUUCUUUUGCAAGGGAAUAAAGUGGGCCACGUGUGGCCUUUUGCAAGUACCUUGCGAAUAAGGAUCGGCUAACUCCGUG